CCUGAAAGCUUAUUGUCUGUUCCAUCAUCUCUCCCAGCUCUUCUUCAGAACUGCUCAGAAAUCACAGGAGAAAAGAAUUAAAGAAUAAUAGAAAGAAAGAGAAGGAAAAGGAUGACAGGAAGGAUGACAGGGGUCCAUUAAGCAAAUGGCAGAUGACGAACAUUCAUCAGAAAGUAAAUACAGCAGAGGAAGUGAUGACUAGCCCCUGGCAAGACCCACCACCUAAUGAGUCAAUAACUGAAUGGAGCAGAGAAUAAGGCUAUAUCCACAAGCCAAAGGAAGGAGCAAGAUGAGGCCAUGAAGAGGGUCCAGGACACAAGAUAGGAAAACACCUGGAGCAUAGAGAACCAAAUCAAUACUAAAAUGAAAGAGUCUCAGGGAUUCUGCCUGGGAGGUAGCUAGAUCAGUUUAGAGCUAGAUCUGCUCAAAGAAUGUUCUGUAAAAGUUAUCAAAUA
Mastomys coucha (southern multimammate mouse) is the source of this 455-nucleotide long non-coding RNA. RefSeq lists it as uncharacterized. The record is from RefSeq and is a predicted model, not a curated record. The transcript has 2 exons. NCBI's taxonomy places the organism in Eukaryota, Metazoa, Chordata, Mammalia, Rodentia, Muridae.